RNAcentral lists this transfer RNA (76 nucleotides) under Rugosimonospora africana. RNAcentral describes it as "tRNA-Pro". It matches the Rfam family "tRNA". From Rfam's summary of the family: Transfer RNA (tRNA) molecules are approximately 80 nucleotides in length. Their secondary structure includes four short double-helical elements and three loops (D, anti-codon, and T loops). Lineage: Bacteria; Bacillati; Actinomycetota; Actinomycetes; Micromonosporales; Micromonosporaceae. The record is from RNAcentral.
CGGGCUGUGGCGCAGCUUGGUCAGCGCGCUGCGUUCGGGACGCAGAAGCCGCGGGUUCAAAUCCCGCCAGCCCGAC